RNAcentral lists this long non-coding RNA (330 nucleotides) under Brassica napus (rape). RNAcentral's name for it is "long non-coding RNA (BNAP_LNC013330)". The record is from RNAcentral. Lineage: Eukaryota; Viridiplantae; Streptophyta; Magnoliopsida; Brassicales; Brassicaceae.
CCUUCUUUUUAAGUAUAUAGCGUAUUUGUUAUAAAUCAAUUGGUGGAUGUUCAUAACCGGUCCGGUCUAUAACCGGUCCAUACACUUAAAGAGAGAGACGGUCCAACCCUAGAGAAAGAGGCGGCCGCGAGACUUGGAGACGAAAGAGAGGCGACUACAACUUGCAUAUUUCCUAAUUCGUUUAUGUUUAUGAUUUGUAAUCUUUCGUAUUAUUGUAUUUUUAUUUAUCUCUCUUGUAACCCCUAUAUAAAGGAAACACUUAUUCAUUAAUAAUAUACAGAAACUUACAGUUCUAAAUCCUAAGUUUCACAACACGUUAUGAGCACGAUA